Long non-coding RNA from Ornithodoros turicata, 1866 nucleotides. RefSeq lists it as uncharacterized. The transcript has 2 exons. The record is from RefSeq and is a predicted model, not a curated record. NCBI's taxonomy places the organism in Eukaryota, Metazoa, Arthropoda, Arachnida, Ixodida, Argasidae.
GCGCCUUUUUCUCGCGCGUCAUCUCGCGCUAAGAAAGAAACACUUGCGGCUCGCGCUGGAUUUUCGGCCAUGCGACACACAGACAAGAUCUUCACGAAAUUGAGCACUUCACAGCUCUCGCUGUAAAAGACACAGGGACCUACACACAGCAGUCAUACCAUAAACUACAAACAGGAACGAAAAAACUAGUCAAAUAGUGGAAGGACAAUAAAAACAAACAACACGUCACAAAUCUGGCCAACAGGAAGUCUAUGGGUAUCGACGAGGUACCAAACGAGUUUCUAAGAGUACUGAAAUCGCCAGCAAGAAAGGCCUUCGGGGGUCUUCUGAAUAAAAUCCUACACACAAAGCAACGUCCUGCUGAAUGGCAUAGAUAAAGCUAUUAUACGAUAGAAAAUGAAAAGACAGUAAUCGCCUAGACUCCUACAAACCAACGUCUAUAAGCUCCCGAUCUCCAUCCUAAACUCAGGGACUGGUGUGAGCCAGGUCAGAACGCUUUGCAAAGGGGACCUCGAGGAAGUGAUAACCUCUUCACUCUGACGCAAGUGAUGAGGCAUGAAUGGUGAACAGUGCCGAACUGCAUCUGGUGUUCCUGGGCCUAGAAAAGGCCUCCCAAACAAUAGGCUCCUAAAGAUUGGGACGGACGAUCGAGUCGCUGAUUUCUUUCAGAAUACAUACUCCAACUGCAUAGGCGUCUACUCGCUGGGGAACGCCGAGGAAUUACCGAUUUCGACAUGGCUGCCAACACUUUUCAACUUAUACAUAAACAAUCUACUACAGAUGUUGGAGAAUACAGGCUUUGUUCUUCUCGACAGUCACGACAGAGGUUAGGAAAAUGGUGAUGUUCCACGUAAGGUUUGCCUGCGGCGACAUGUUGCACGUGGGUAGGACUGCGGAUAAUUUCUUACCACCUGGGGUUCCUUUGACGUGCGCCGGAAAUCUCCGACACAUGGUGCUGGAAGCAAUGGCCUAUCUCUGCAAUGGCCCUGGCCAAUCUCCCUUAGUGGCUCACGGCCAUCUUUUCAUUGGAAGAAGAAGAAGAAGAAUGGGACGAGCAAUCGCUGUUACCACCCUGCACGGAACCCUGACCAAUCGCCCGUGUGGCUUGUGGUCACUGUGCUUAGUGGUGAAAGAAGAAGAAGAAUCGCUGUUUCAGCUGAAGACGGUAAUCCGACCGAAAAGAGCUCAUAGAGACUGGGUCAUACGAUACGCCCCGCCCGAAGAGGCGGCCAUGAAUUUCAAGGAGAAUCCACCGACUGCCAGUAACGUCGUCUCCGAACCAUUCAGCAGCGUCUCCUUCCGGAACGUCAUUGUUUCUCCGGUUGUCUCUCUGAAGAGAAACUCACUGGCUGCAGAGAGAACAGAAUGGAGCGUGCUGUCAUUCCUAAAGAACCCACGCAGGCCUUUACAGGCUCCAGGACAGAGGCUCAACUUUCACAGACAGUCCAUAGUAGGCCCAUUGGUAACGCUGUGCGUCAUUGCGUUCCUGGUGACCAGCAUUAUGGGCUACAGCAUCUACUACCUGUCCAUCCACAAUAAUACGACCAGCACAACCGAUGUCCUUGGCGCAAUCCGGACCCUCAGAAUCGUUCCCAAGGCAUUUAAAGAGGAUAAUGUUACAACUGUCAACUACAUGAACAAUACCGUCCAAGACUAUUUCGGAAAAGCGGUCACUGUUGGGAUGGCGCUCAUUUUCUGACCCUUUCCGUACCAAUUUUUCUCUUUUGUUUUUUCGUCCGUGUGGUGUAUUUUGCGCCAGUAUACUCUCUAGCCAUUCCGUACGUUUUUUUAUACAAUAUUUUCCCAUCUCUCCCGAAAGCACCAUUUACCACAACUACAAACUGCAAAUAAAGCAUAUGCGCAUCA